This 230-nucleotide ribosomal RNA is filed under the name uncultured microorganism. Its description in RNAcentral is "partial 16S ribosomal RNA". It matches the Rfam family "Bacterial small subunit ribosomal RNA", at positions 524 to 753 of the family's 1533-position model. The record is from RNAcentral.
CACGUAUGGGGCGAGCGUUGUUCGGAAUUAUUGGGCGUAAAGGGCGCGUAGGCGGAAAUGCAAGUCUGGUGUGAAAGACCGCAGCUUAACUGCGGGAGCGCGCUGGAAACUGCAUAUCUUGAAUCCUUGAGGGGAAACUGGAAUUCCUGGUGUAGGGGUGAAAUCUGUAGAUAUCAGGAAGAACAUCAGUGGCGAAGGCGAGUUUCUGGCAAGUGAUUGACGCUGAGGCG